RNAcentral lists this ribosomal RNA (646 nucleotides) under uncultured organism. RNAcentral's name for it is "bacterial SSU rRNA". It matches the Rfam family "Bacterial small subunit ribosomal RNA", at positions 48 to 714 of the family's 1533-position model. The record is from RNAcentral.
CUUAUGCAUGCAAGUCGAGCGAUGAGGCCCUUUCGGGGGUACAUCAGCGGCAGACGGGUGAGCAACACGUGGGUGACCUACCCUAAAGACGGGGAUAACCCUCGGAGACGGGGGCUAAUACCGGAUAGCUACAGCGUACGGGGGUAUGUUGUAGAAAGCUACGGCGCUUUAGGAUGGGCCUGCGGCCCAUCAGCUAGUUGGUAGGGUAACGGCCUACCAAGGCAAAGACGGGUAGGGGGUGUGAGAGCACGGCCCCCCACAAUGGGACUGGAACACGGCCCAUACUCCUACGGGAGGCGGCAGCAGGGAAUAUUGCGCAAUGGGCGAAAGCCUGACGCAGCGACGCCGCGUGAGUGAAGACGGCUUUCGAGUUGUAAAACUCUUUUCUGGGGGAAGAGGAAGGACGGUACCCGAGGAAUAAGCGUCGGCUAACUACAUGCCAGCAGCCGCGGUAAGACGUAGGACGCGAGCGUUAUCCGGAUUUACUGGGCGUAAAGCGCCUGUAGGCGGCUUUGUAAGUUGGGCGUGAAAGCCCCGUGCUUAACGCGGGGAGGCCGUUCAAUACUGCGGAGCUAGAGUACGGCAGAAGGGAAUGGAAUUCCUGGAGUAGCGGUAAAAUGCGCAGAUAUCAGGAGGAACACCAGUG